GAUGAAGAACGCAGCGAAAUGCGAUAAGUAGUGUGAAUUGCAGAAUUCCGUGAAUCAUCGAAUCUUUGAACGCACAUUGCGCCUUCUGGUAUUCCGGAAGGCAUGCCUGUUCGAGAGUCAUUAACAACCGUUUCGAUCCCUUUCUUUCAGAAAUUACAAAGAGGAAAAGGGUUUGGUUAUGGUGGAGGAGGGAAAGGGAGCGUUUAGCCUGUAAAAAAAGAGGCUGUGUUCUGCCUCCCCCCCAAAAUUGUACAGGCGGUCGUGUGCGCCCACGCAUCGAGGUGUUGUAAAAGCUGCCACGGCACUUUUCACCUGUGCAGUGCGAGAUUGGCCAGCCGGUUUAAAAACCCCUCCAAACAAUCAAAGGUUGACCUCGGAUCAGGUAGGGAUACCCGCUGAACUUAAGCAUAUCAAUAAGCGGAGGA
Molecule: unclassified non-coding RNA, 425 nt
Filed under: soil metagenome
Description: partial contains 5.8S ribosomal RNA, internal transcribed spacer 2, and large subunit ribosomal RNA
Rfam family: 5.8S ribosomal RNA (bases 1-120)
Source: RNAcentral